GAUGAACGCUGGCGGCGUGCCUAAUACAUGCAAGUCGAGCGAACAGACGAGGAGCUUGCUCCUCUGACGUUAGCGGCGGACGGGUGAGUAACACGUGGAUAACCUACCUAUAAGACUGGGAUAACUUCGGGAAACCGGAGCUAAUACCGGAUAAUAUAUUGAACCGCAUGGUUCAAUAGUGAAAGACGGUUUUGCUGUCACUUAUAGAUGGAUCCGCGCCGCAUUAGCUAGUUGGUAAGGUAACGGCUUACCAAGGCAACGAUGCGUAGCCGACCUGAGAGGGUGAUCGGCCACACCGGAAAUUAGACACGGUCCAGACUCCGACGGGAGGCAGCAGUAGGGAAUCUUCCGCAAUGGGCGAAAGCUUGACGGAGCAACGCCGCGUGAGUGAUGAAGGUCUUCGGAUCGUAAAACUCUGUUAUUAGGGAAGAACAAAUGUGUAAGUAACUAUGCACGUCUUGACGGUACCUAAUCAGAAAGCCACGGCUAACUACGUG
RNAcentral lists this ribosomal RNA (497 nucleotides) under uncultured bacterium. Its description in RNAcentral is "partial 16S ribosomal RNA". It matches the Rfam family "Bacterial small subunit ribosomal RNA", at positions 28 to 507 of the family's 1533-position model. The record is from RNAcentral.